Molecule: ribosomal RNA, 694 nt
Filed under: Companilactobacillus alimentarius
Lineage: Bacteria; Bacillati; Bacillota; Bacilli; Lactobacillales; Lactobacillaceae
Description: bacterial SSU rRNA
Rfam family: Bacterial small subunit ribosomal RNA
Source: RNAcentral
GCAGUCGAACGAACUUUCCUAUUGAUUGAUGCUUGCAUCAUGAUUUAGAUCUAAGUGAGUGGCGGACGGGUGAGUAACACGUGGGUAACCUGCCCAGAAGUGGGGGAUAACAUUUGGAAACAAGUGCUAAUACCGCAUAACAACAUUAAACACAUGUUUUUUGUUUAAAAGAUGGUUUUGCUAUCUCUUCUGGAUGGACCCGCGGCGUAUUAGCUAGUUGGUGAGGUAAUAGCUCACCAAGGCGAUGAUACGUAGCCGACCUGAGAGGGUAAUCGGCCACAUUGGGACUGAGACACGGCCCAAACUCCUACGGGAGGCAGCAGUAGGGAAUCUUCCACAAUGGACGAAAGUCUGAUGGAGCAAUGCCGCGUGAGUGAAGAAGGUUUUCGGAUCGUAAAACUCUGUUGUUGAAGAAGAACAUAUGUGAGAGUAACUGUUCACGUACUGACGGUAUUCAACCAGAAAGCCACGGCUAACUACGUGCCAGCAGCCGCGGUAAUACGUAGGUGGCAAGCGUUGUCCGGAUUUAUUGGGCGUAAAGAGAAUGUAGGCGGUUCAUUAAGUUUGAAGUGAAAGCCCUCGGCUCAACCGAGGAAGUGCUUCGAAAACUGGUGAACUUGAGUGCAGAAGAGGAAAGUGGAACUCCAUGUGUAGCGGUGGAAUGCGUAGAUAUAUGGAAGAACACCAGUGGCGA